Molecule: ribosomal RNA, 311 nt
Filed under: Penicillifer macrosporus
Lineage: Eukaryota; Fungi; Ascomycota; Sordariomycetes; Hypocreales; Nectriaceae
Description: eukaryotic LSU rRNA
Rfam family: Eukaryotic large subunit ribosomal RNA
Source: RNAcentral
UUGACCUCGGAUCAGGUAGGACUACCCGCUGAACUUAAGCAUAUCAAUAAGCGGAGGAAAAGAAACCAACAGGGAUUGCCCCAGUAACGGCGAGUGAAGCGGCAACAGCUCAAAUUUGAAAUCUGGCCCCCGGGUCCGAGUUGUAAUUUGCAGAGGAUGCUUUUGGUGCGGCGCCUUCCAAGUCCCCUGGAACGGGACGCCAUAGAGGGUGAGAGCCCCGUCUGGUCGGACGCCAAACCUCUGUAAAGCUCCUUCGACGAGUCGAGUAGUUUGGGAAUGCUGCUCUAAAUGGGAGGUAUAUGUCUUCUAAA